This 433-nucleotide ribosomal RNA is filed under the name uncultured bacterium. Its description in RNAcentral is "partial 16S ribosomal RNA". It matches the Rfam family "Bacterial small subunit ribosomal RNA", at positions 29 to 507 of the family's 1533-position model. The record is from RNAcentral.
AACGAACGCUGGCGGCAUGCCUAACACAUGCAAGUCGAACGAAACCUUCGGGUCUAUUGGCGCACGGGUGCGUAACGCGUGGGAACCUGCCCUUAGGUUCGGAAUAACUCCCCGAAAGGGGUGCUAAUACCGGAUAAUGUCUUCGGACCAAAGAUUUAUCGCCUUUGGAUGGGCCCUCGUUGGAUUAGCUAGUUGGUAGGGUAAAAGCCUACCACGGCGACGAUCCAUAGCUGGUCUGAGAGGAUGAUCAGCCACACUGGGACUGAGACACGGCCCAGACUCCUACGGGAGGCAGCAGUGGGGAAUAUUGGACAAUGGGCGAAAGCCUGAUCCAGCAAUGCCGCGUGAGUGAUGAAGGCCUUAGGGUUGUAAAGCUCUUUUACCCGGGAUGAUAAUGACAGUACCGGGAGAAUAAGCUCCGGCUAACUCCGUG